GACGAACGCUGGCGGCGUGCUUAACACAUGCAAGUCGAACGCUGAAGCUCAGCUUUUGUUGGGUGGAUGAGUGGCGAACGGGUGAGUAACACGUGAGUAACCUGCCUCCUUCUUUGGGAUAACGCCCGGAAACGGGUGCUAAUACCGGAUAUUCACUGGUCUUCGCAUGGGGGUUGGUGGAAAGGGUUUUUCUGGUGGGGGAUGGGCUCGCGGCCUAUCAGCUUGCUGGUGGGGUGAUGGCCUACCAAGGCUUUGACGGGUAGCCGGCCUGAGAGGGUGACCGGUCACAUUGGGACUGAGAUACGGCCCAGACUCCUACGGGAGGCAGCAGUGGGGAAUAUUGCACAAUGGGCGCAAGCCUGAUGCAGCGACGCCGCGUGAGGGAUGGAGGCCUUCGGGUUGUGAACCUCUUUCGCUCAUGGUCAAGCCGCAACAAUGGUUGUGGUGAGGGUAGUGGGUAAAGAAGCGCCGGCUAACUACGUG
RNAcentral lists this ribosomal RNA (483 nucleotides) under uncultured bacterium. Its description in RNAcentral is "partial 16S ribosomal RNA". It matches the Rfam family "Bacterial small subunit ribosomal RNA", at positions 28 to 507 of the family's 1533-position model. The record is from RNAcentral.